UACAGAGACUGCAAGCGUUAUUCGGAUUCACUGGGCGUAAAGGGCGCGUAGGCGGCGCGGGAAGUCCGUGGUGAAAGCCCGAGGCUCAACUUCGGGUCGGCCAUGGAUACUCCUGGGCUUGAGCACUGUAGAGGCAGGUGGAAUUCCGGGUGUAGCGGUGGAAUGCGUAGAGAUCCGGAAGAACACCGGUGGCGAAGGCGGCCUGGCUGGGCAGUAGCUGACGCUGAGGCGCGACAGCGUGGGGAGCAAACAGG
This 254-nucleotide ribosomal RNA is filed under the name uncultured bacterium. RNAcentral's name for it is "partial 16S ribosomal RNA". It matches the Rfam family "Bacterial small subunit ribosomal RNA", at positions 524 to 776 of the family's 1533-position model. The record is from RNAcentral.